This 324-nucleotide ribosomal RNA is filed under the name uncultured prokaryote. RNAcentral describes it as "bacterial SSU rRNA". It matches the Rfam family "Bacterial small subunit ribosomal RNA", at positions 26 to 352 of the family's 1533-position model. The record is from RNAcentral.
AGAUUGAACGCUAGCGGCAUGCCUAACACAUGCAAGUCGAACGGUAACAGGCCCUUCGGGGUGCUGACGAGUGGCGGACGGGUGAGUAAUGCGUAGGAGUCUACCCACGAGUGGGGGAUAGCCCGGAGAAAUCCGGAUUAAUACCGCAUAUGCCCUACGGGGUAAAGCGGGGGAUCGUAAGACCUCGCGCUGGUGGAUGAGCCUACGUCCGAUUAGCUGGUUGGUGGGGUAACGGCCCACCAAGGCGACGAUCCGUAGCUGGUCUGAGAGGACGACCAGCCACACUGGGACUGAGACACGGCCCAGACUCCUACGGGAGGCAGC